Molecule: ribosomal RNA, 253 nt
Filed under: uncultured bacterium
Lineage: Bacteria
Description: partial 16S ribosomal RNA
Rfam family: Bacterial small subunit ribosomal RNA
Source: RNAcentral
UACAGAGGUCCCGAGCGUUGUUCGGAUUCAUUGGGCGUAAAGGGUGCGUAGGCGGGUCUUUAAGUCAGGGGUGAAAUCCUGGAGCUCAACUCCAGAACUGCCUUUGAUACUGAGGAUCUUGAGUUCGGGAGAGGUGAGUGGAACUGCGAGUGUAGAGGUGAAAUUCGUAGAUAUUCGCAAGAACACCAGUGGCGAAGGCGGCUCACUGGCCCGAUACUGACGCUGAGGCACGAAAGCGUGGGGAGCAAACAGG